RNAcentral lists this ribosomal RNA (497 nucleotides) under uncultured bacterium. RNAcentral's name for it is "partial 16S ribosomal RNA". It matches the Rfam family "Bacterial small subunit ribosomal RNA", at positions 28 to 507 of the family's 1533-position model. The record is from RNAcentral.
GAUGAACGCUGGCGGCGUGCCUAAUACAUGCAAGUCGAGCGAACGGACGAGAAGCUUGCUUCUCUGAUGUUAGCGGCGGACGGGUGAGUAACACGUGGAUAACCUACCUAUAAGACUGGGAUAACUUCGGGAAACCGUAGCUAAUACCGGAUAAUAUUUUGAACCGCAUUGUUCAAAAGUGAAAGACGGUCUUGCUGUCACUUAUAGAUGGAUCCGCGCUGCAUUAGCUAGUUGGUAAGGUAACGGCUUACCAAGGCAACGAUGCAUAGCCGACCUGAGAGGGUGAUCGGCCACACUGGAACUGAGACACGGUCCAGACUCCUACGGGAGGCCGCAGUAGGGAAUCUUCCGCAAUGGGCGAAAGCCUGACGGAGCAACGCCGCGUGAGUGAUGAAGGUCUUCGGAUCGUAAAACUCUGUUAUUAGGGAAGAACAUAUGUGUAAGUAACUGUGCACAUCUUGACGGUACCUAAUCAGAAAGCCACGGCUAACUACGUG